GCCGGCGCCACAGAAGCCACUGUUCAACCUCCGUCAUCGAGAUCCACAGUAUUUUAAGGCCAUUUGCUCACAUACUGCCUUUAAUGGUCUCCUACUCCUGAGGGCAAAUCAAGUAUAUUUUCUUGUCCUGGGACACUGUGAAGAAGCCCCUCACACCUCCCACCCCGGCACACAGAAGGUGGGCGAAGUUGCAAGACGCCAGAGAAGGAGACGCACAGACAGCAGCCCGGCGGCCUGAGGUCAGGCCGGGGGUCGGACGAUAGCACGGGGUUGACGUGUUGAUGGCAGCUGCACGGGGCCAAGGUCCUUACGCUUCACACGCCCACAGAAGUCAUACAGCGGAAGAAAGGGGAUCCCGCACACAGUGAAGGGGGAAGUGUGGUCUCCAGAAAAUUCCACCUUCCUGUGACCCAAAUUCUCCACCAAGUGAUGACAUUCUGGGCUGUGACAAAGGAGCUUGGACUGAACGAAGAAAAAGGUAGCUGGCUCUUCUGGAAGGAAAGGCCAGGGAGGGGUGAGACCAGGACAGACAGCAUGAAGCGACUCAGGCGCCCGCGGCCUCUCUCCGAAUGUGUGGGACGGAGACAGGCGGCAGAGGCAUUUCACCAGCAGUGCAGGCUUCCACCUUCCCAGGGCCACGUGAUCCUGGUGAAACUUUCCAGUUUCAAAGUGACCACCCCCCUCCCCCCGACACCGUGCCUUCGUCUGGUCUACACUUUUCUUCUUUAAUGGGAAGAAUGGAAGAAAUAUCAGAACAAAUAGAACUUAGAAAGUUCUAAAACCUUUCCUUGAAACUUACUGCGUGCCACCAAUAACCCUAAAUUGGAAAAACUCAGUAAUGAGGGUCCUUUUUAAUUACCAGCCUUGAAUCUAACAGCAGCCUUUCGUGCAUUCAAUUGCUCAUUGUCAAUAGAAUCAUCUUUCAGAGUGUUUCAUCUAUCAACAGACAUUUGAUGAUCUAUAUUGAAUAAUAUUUUACUCUGUAUAUUUAAAAUAUACUUUCAGGGCUUCCCUGGUGGCAUAGUGGUUGGGAGUCCACCUGCCGAUGCAGGGGACACGGGUUCGUGCCCCGGUCCGGGAGGAUCCCACAUGCCGCGGAGCGGCUGGGCCCGUGAGCCAUGGCCGCUGAGCCUGCACAUCCGGAGCCUGUGCUCCGCAACGGGAGAGGCCGCAGCAGUGAGAGGCCCGCGUACCGCAAAAAACAAACAAACAAAUAUAUAUAUAUACUUUUAAAUGUCCAUAAACAUUUGUUAUUGGCAAACACUCUCUGAGAUAACAAAAAUAAACGAUUCAGCCUUGGUGAAUACACUAAAAAUGUCCCAGAAGUUCAGAUUAGAUUCUAGCUGUCCCAAGCACACUUCCUGAGCUGGCCCACUGUGGAUCACGUGAAUUGUUUAUGUCCUCAUCUGUUAAAGGGGUAUAAUGCCUACCUCAGAGACAUAUGAGAUUAACUGAAGCCUUCUCAAAUCAUUAAAUGUCGGGAAAAUGCCAACUAUCGUUUAUAACUAAGGAAAAAGCUAAACAUGAGAACAAUAAAUAGAAAUGCAAAAUAAACACGUGCCUAUAUCUAUAACCAAAAAUGCUAUAGUGAGAAAUUUAUAAAAAACAACAUGGAAGAAAUGGUGGGCAUGUUGCAUCCUGAUUCCCCCUUAAGAUAUUCAACUUCAAACUUUCAUUCUUCAUACCACAGUCAGGCUAGAUAUUUAUAGCAUAAUUACGAAAGAGGUUGCUGGGGCCAGAAAGAUUCCUUGUGGCUUUAUUAGCUCUUUUGCUACUAAAAUGCUAAAUCAUCCUAGAGGUAUUUCUGUGCUUUAAGGGCUAAUAUCUUUCUGAAAUAUCCAACUUUCAUAUAUGUAAGAUUAGGUUCUGAUAGAGAACUAGAACAUAAUAAGUAUGUUUAAAAUAACGUGUGAGUUCAAAUUAGUAAAGAACAAAAUUGUAUGACUGUGAACUAACUCAUUAACAGUGAAACUUAUUAAAGCAAAUUAAGUUUGAGGGUUUACGUGCCAGUAUAGUAAGUAAAGCUGGGGUUCCUAGGCUGUGAAUUUUAAGCCUGCCUUUAACUGUAUUUGCUGUAUUUUUUAAGGCAAAUUUCCAAGUGCCUCUGUGUAGGAAGCAUAAUGCUAUGCAUGUGAGAAAUCACUACACGGUGGCCAUUAGCUCAAAAAAAAAAAAAAAAAUCUAAGAAUAGCAAAGUCCCUAACUUUCAGGAGAUUAAAAUUUAAUUAGGCAGACAAAGUAUGUAUAGAAAAAACCCCUAUGACAUAGAUUGAUUGUAUAUUAUGCAUAUUAUCAUCAAUCUUACUAUGGUAAACUUUCAUGAAUAAAGAUUGUUAAAAGAUUUUACUUAAAGAUCCUUCCACAGGUUCUUUGGAGAUAUUCAGUCUUGGUUUUUCUUUUAUGGUUUCAAGUCACAAAACAACUUAAAAGUUCCCCACCCUUCUGCCCUCGGUGCCCUCCCGGCAGCGUCCCCACUCACCCCCAGCUGCUCACAGCCAGCGGAAUGGGAACGUUCCUUUUGUACAAACUCUGUACUUGAGAACUAACAGUAUUCAGUAAACAAGUCUGUUUAAUGAGGGUGUUUAGCUCUUUCUCACACACAUACUUUAAUUAAUGGAAACAAAAUGUAAGUCUUUGAGGGUCACAUAGGAGGAAGAGACUGGAAAAUGAAGCAUGGACUCCCUUAGCCCCAGUUCAGAGUCCAGUCACUAGGGAAUGCCCCACGGGUCUGCUUAUCUAAGCUCACGCUAAACACCUGC
Long non-coding RNA from Orcinus orca (killer whale), 2759 nucleotides. RefSeq lists it as uncharacterized. The transcript is spliced from 3 exons. The record is from RefSeq and is a predicted model, not a curated record. Lineage: Eukaryota; Metazoa; Chordata; Mammalia; Artiodactyla; Delphinidae.